AGUGAACGCUGGCGGUAGGCCUAACACAUGCAAGUCGAACGGCAGCACAGUAAGAGCUUGCUCUUACGGGUGGCGAGUGGCGGACGGGUGAGGAAUACAUCGGAAUCUACUUUUUCGUGGGGGAUAACGUAGGGAAACUUACGCUAAUACCGCAUACGACCUCCGGGUGAAAGCAGGGGAUCUUCGGACCUUGCGCGAUUGAAUGCGCCGAUGUCGGAUUAGCUAGUUGGCGGGGUAAAGGCCCACCAAGGCGACGAUCCGUAGCUGGUCUGAGAGGAUGAUCAGCCACACUGGAACUGAGACACGGUCCAGACUCCUACGGGAGGCAGCAGUGGGGAAUAUUGGACAAUGGGCGCAAGCCUGAUCCAGCCAUACCGCGUGGGUGAAGAAGGCCUUCGGGUUGUAAAGCCCUUUUGUUGGGAAAGAAAAGCAGCAGGUUAAUACCCCGCUGUUCUGACGGUACCCAAAGAAUAAGCACCGGCUAACUUCGUG
This 492-nucleotide ribosomal RNA is filed under the name uncultured bacterium. Its description in RNAcentral is "partial 16S ribosomal RNA". It matches the Rfam family "Bacterial small subunit ribosomal RNA", at positions 29 to 507 of the family's 1533-position model. The record is from RNAcentral.